GAAGGUGUGUCUAGAAAGUCAGGUUAGAGCUUGAUUAGUAAAGCAUUUCAUUUACAUUGAAAAGUUAUCGUGCAAUUCGGUUUAAUUUGAUAAAAUAAAAUUAUUAAGGUUAUUUGUUUUUAAAAUUAUUUUAAUAAAAUUAAUUUUUAAUAAAAAAGUUUAAGUAUUUUAUAAAGAAAAAAUAAAUAUAAUGAUAGUUAAUUAGUAUUGUAAAAGAAAUUUUAAAUAUAUUGAAAAUUUUUUAUUUUAAAAGAAAAUAUUAUUUAUUGUACCUUGUGUAUCAGGGUUUAUUAAUUAAAAGGUAAAGAUUUAUUAUUCCCGAAUUUAAAAGAGUUAAUAAAUUAUGUUAGUUAACGUAUUAAAGUUAUUAAUAAUAAUUUAUUAGAAAUGAAAUGUUAAUCGCUUUUAAAUAUAUCUGGUUUUCUAAGAAAUAAAUUUAAUUUAGUUAAUUAUUAAUAAUUUUUUAUUUAUAAAAUAAAAUUAGUAAUAAUUAAAAAUAUUUUAAGGGAUAAGCUUUAAAAUAUUAUUUAUAAUUAAUUGUUUUAUUUUUAAAUCUAUAGGCUUAGAAAUAGUCAUUAGUUAAAAAAAUGUUAUAAUUUAUUUAAAAAUAAAAAUAAUUUUUUAUUAUUUAAGUAUCUAUUAGAAUAAUUUUGUUAAUAAUAAUAAAUUUAUAAUAAUGAUAAAAUUAGUAUAAUUAAAUGUAAGUUUUAAUUUAAUAAGAAAGGUUACAUUAAGGAACUCGGCAAAUAAAUACUCGCCUGUUUAACAAAAACAUGUCUUUCUGAUAAUAAUUUAAAGUCUAAUCUGCCCACUGAUUUUUUAAAGGGCCGCGGUAUU
Molecule: ribosomal RNA, 837 nt
Filed under: Bittacus nipponicus
Lineage: Eukaryota; Metazoa; Arthropoda; Insecta; Mecoptera; Bittacidae
Description: partial 16S rRNA
Rfam family: tRNA (bases 20-90)
Source: RNAcentral